CUUUGAAUAGCUAUUUUAAAUAACUGUUUCUUGUCUGAUUUUUUAAUAGGGUCUUACUGGACAGAGCUCAUUCAGACUAUGACAGUGUGUUUCACCAUCUGGAUUUGGAAAUGCUUUCCUCACCACAACAUUCUCCAGUCAAUCAGUUUGCCAAUACCUCAGAAACAAAUACCUCGGACAAAUCUUUCUCUAAAGACCUCAGUCAGAUACUAGUCAAUAUCAAAUCAUGUAGAUGGCGGCAUUUUAGGCCUCGGACACCAUCCCUACAUGACAGUGACAAUGAUGAACUCUCCUGUAGAAAAUUAUAUAGGAGUAUAAACCGAACAGGAACAGCACAACCUGGGACCCAGACAUGCAGUACCUCUACGCAAAGUAAAAGUAGCAGUGGUUCAGCACACUUUGCAUUUACAGCCGAACAAUACCAGCAACAUCAACAGCAACUGGCACUCAUGCAGAAACAGCAGCUUGCACAAAUUCAGCAACAGCAAGCAAAUAGUAAUUCCUCCACCAACACAUCACAGGUGAGGGAUUUGUCUGUCUUAUGAUUAUCCCUCAUUGUUUCCCACCAGAGUUCAUCUCUAAUUACCAACUGUUGUCAUAGAACCUUGCAUCUAACCAGCAGAAAAGUGGCUUUCGCCUGAAUAUACAGGGUUUAGAAAGAACACUACAGGUGAGUAUGGAAGCUGUUGCCUCUGCUCCCUAUUUUAAAAAGUAAAACUAAAGCACUUAGUUAAAUGAGAUGAAGAUACUGUCUUCCCGUCUGACCUGUAGUCCAUUAAUGUACCUCUUGAAUAUAUAACCCCACCCAGUUCAUUCUCUUGGGCAUGUUAAUUAUUAUUAAGGCUUUUAAAAUUAUGCAAAAAUAACCUCUCCAACUCUUGAAAGAGAUAACUUUUAAACCUAAAGCAUGAUGAACGUUUGCCAGUUAAACACAUGUAGGGCAUAAAGGCUGAGGUUUGAGUCUCUAUGCAUCUUGCAGGAAAAAUAUAUUUUUAAAAAGUUGAGGGGCCUAUCGAUUUCUAGGUUAAAUUAUGUGAUAUUUUGUUACUUCCAUUUCUAAAGGGAUAGUUAUCUUAUCCCAAAGGUGCCUUUCAUUGUGUGUGUAUACAUAUGUGUGUGUGUAUAAGUUAGGUGAAGGAAGUUUACAUAUUCAUUUAUUCAUUAUAUGGAUUUGCAAAUCAC
Molecule: long non-coding RNA, 1182 nt
Filed under: Pan troglodytes (chimpanzee)
Lineage: Eukaryota; Metazoa; Chordata; Mammalia; Primates; Hominidae
Description: long non-coding RNA NONPTRT002117
Source: RNAcentral